This 344-nucleotide ribosomal RNA is filed under the name uncultured bacterium. RNAcentral describes it as "partial 16S ribosomal RNA". It matches the Rfam family "Bacterial small subunit ribosomal RNA", at positions 338 to 699 of the family's 1533-position model. The record is from RNAcentral.
CCUACGGGUGGCAGCAGUAGGGAAUAUUGCUCAAUGGGGGAAACCCUGAAGCAGCAACGCCGCGUGGAGGAUGAAGGUUUUCGGAGUGUAAACUCCUUUUUUUAGAGAAGAUAAUGACGGUAUCUAACGAAUAAGCACCGGCUAACUCCGUGCCAGCAGCCGCGGUAAUACGGAGGCUGCCAGAGUUCCUCGGACUCACUGGGGGUAAAGAGCGCGUAGGCGGGAUAACAAGUCAGAGGUGAAAUACUAUGGCUUAACCAUAGAACUGCAUUUGAAACUGUUAUUCUAGAGUAUGGGAGAGGUAGGUGGAAUUCAUGGUGUAGCGGUAAAAUGCGUAGAGAUCA